This 337-nucleotide ribosomal RNA is filed under the name uncultured bacterium. Its description in RNAcentral is "bacterial SSU rRNA". It matches the Rfam family "Bacterial small subunit ribosomal RNA", at positions 1 to 334 of the family's 1533-position model. The record is from RNAcentral.
CUAGCGACUUCAGAGUUUGAUCCUGGCUCAGGAUGAACGCUGGCGGCGUGCAUAACACAUUCAAGUCGAACGGUGACGAGGACUUCGGUCCUCUGAUCAGUGGCGGACGGGUGAGUAACGCGUGAGCAACCUGCCCUAUAUUGCGGGAUAACAACCGGAAACAGUUGCUAAUACCGCAUGACGUAUUCGGAUCGCAUGUUCUGAAUACCAAAGAAUUUUGAUAUAGGAUGGGCUCGCGUCCGAUUAGGCAGUUGGUGGGGUAACGGCCCACCAAACCGACGAUCGGUAGCCGAACUGAGAGGUUGAACGGCCACAUUGGAACUGAGAUACGGUCCAG